AUUCUACCCAUGUGGGGAAGGAUGAGAAGCUUCGACUAAGGUUCGAUUCGAGCGAAAGCGAGAGAACGUUGCCAACGGCAACGGCCCGAAGGGCGAAGCGCGCAGCGCUGAGUCAUCCUUCCCCCACCACCA
Molecule: small RNA, 132 nt
Filed under: Salmonella enterica subsp. enterica serovar Senftenberg
Lineage: Bacteria; Pseudomonadati; Pseudomonadota; Gammaproteobacteria; Enterobacterales; Enterobacteriaceae
Also listed under: 13 other names
Description: RtT sRNA
Rfam family: RtT RNA
About the family: This family represents a bacterial cis-regulatory element known as RtT RNA.
Source: RNAcentral